RNAcentral lists this ribosomal RNA (242 nucleotides) under uncultured bacterium. RNAcentral describes it as "partial 16S ribosomal RNA". It matches the Rfam family "Bacterial small subunit ribosomal RNA", at positions 91 to 334 of the family's 1533-position model. The record is from RNAcentral.
GCGACCGGCGCACGGGUGAGUAACGCGUAUCCAACCUUCCGCAUACUCGGGGAUAGCCUUCUGAAAAGGAGAUUAAUACCCGAUGGUAUCAAGAGAUUGCAUGAUAACUUGAUUAAAGAAUUUCGGUAUGCGAUGGGGAUGCGUUCCAUUAGGUAGUAGGCGGGGUAACGGCCCACCUAGCCGACGAUGGAUAGGGGUUCUGAGAGGAAGGUCCCCCACAUUGGAACUGAGACACGGUCCAA